CUGAAAUUGUUCUACCUUUUUAUGUGCAAAUUACAGCUACUGUCAAACCUUCAGCCACAGUGCAUUUAAUUUGUGGAAAUAUAAAAAUACCUGGCUUAAUAUUAAAAUAUUCUACAUGAAGAAGGAAAUAUUUUUAAGUGAUGUAUUGCAUUCAGGACUCUCCGAAAAAAAAAAAAAAAAUCAGAUUUGAAAGAAAUAAAACGGCUGCAGGUGCAGAGUUGAUCCACCUCCCAUGCAUUCAGCAGUAAUGCAGAGAACCUGGGACAGGCAUUCAGCUUCGGCAGUUAAGGAAGAGAAGAGGGGAACAGCUUGGCACAGUCAGAGCUCUUAAAUACUAUCAGC
RNAcentral lists this long non-coding RNA (342 nucleotides) under Gallus gallus (chicken). RNAcentral describes it as "lncRNA (ENSGALG00010019686.1)". Lineage: Eukaryota; Metazoa; Chordata; Aves; Galliformes; Phasianidae. The record is from RNAcentral.